This 916-nucleotide long non-coding RNA is filed under the name Malus domestica (apple). RNAcentral's name for it is "long non-coding RNA (MDOM_LNC020332)". Lineage: Eukaryota; Viridiplantae; Streptophyta; Magnoliopsida; Rosales; Rosaceae. The record is from RNAcentral.
AAAAUGGAGCUUAGAUUGGAAAGUACAUGCUUGGAGCACAAGGAAUGGACGAGUUUGAAGGGCAAAUGAGCUUAAGAAAUGAAGAAAUGAAUGUGAAGAACAAAGAAUUCAGAAUUAGAAACCAAAGUUUCUAAAGUUGGAAGUUUCUAUUCUUGGAGGUUUCCAUUUGUGAGAGUUUCUAUUCUUGGCGUUGGGCUUUUGGAUGACCUAUCCUUACCUCUUGGACUUGAGCCGCACUUCCUAGCCCAUUCUCUCUUAAAUUCUGACUUAUUAGGGCCUUUAGUUGUGGAUUUGGGUUAUGCAAAUCCCUGUUUAAAACUAAGUGGACCUAAGCCCUAAUUCUUUGUGGAUAUUCACCCUAUGCCGCACCUAAACCCUAGCCCAUUUCCAAAUCUGAUCUCCCUAACCCUAUGCCGCACCUAGGGUUUUAAAUAUCUGAUUUCCUUGCCUUGCAAGGCAUUCUAGAAGCCUAAACCCUAGCCCACUAAACCAGCCGAACCCUAGGCCUUUUCCCUUGCAAAUUCUGAUUGUUUUAACCUAUUUUCUGGUGGAUUUGGGUUUCUAGAAACCCUAAUCUGAUUGCUAGGGUUUUUAAGUGCCUAUAUAUACUCUUUUAAACCUCUUGGCCGAAGGGACCACCUCCCAUAUCAUCCAUGCACUCCAGAAAUUCAUUCUAAACCCUUGCCGCAACCAACCCCUUCAUUCUCCCUAGUUCUAAGCCCUUGCCGUGCCUCCCUAGUCCUUUUAACCCUUCUACCCUUUUCCAUAACCAUUCAUCUACCACAGCCGUGCCUUCCCACCACCAUCACCACCUUGUGCAGCCACCAAAGGAGGAGAAAGAAGGAGUGCCGUGCAGUCCAAAGGAGGAAGACACCUUGCACAUGCAAUCUGCCAUUAGUGGAGUGUUUGGAGUUCU